AGGGCACCACCAGGAGUGGAGCCUGCGGCUUAAUUUGACUCAACACGGGAAAACUCACCCGGCCCGGACACUGUAAGGAUUGACAGAUUGAUAGCUCUUUCUUAAUUCAGUGGAUGGUGGUGCAUGGCCGUUCUUAGUUGGUGGAGCGAUUUGUCUGGUUAAUUCCGAUAACGAACGAGACUCUGGCCUAUUAAAUAGUCAGUAUAUAAGAAAGUGUAUUGCACUUCUUAGAGGGACAAGCGGCGUCUAGCCGCAUGAAAUAGAGCAAUAACAGGUCUGUGAUGCCCUUAGAUGUCCGGGGCUGCACGCGCGCUACACUGAAAGAAUCAGCGUGCUUUUAACCUAGUUCGGAAGAACCGGGUAACCCAAGUAAAUUCUUUCGUGCUUGGGAUAGGGAAUUGCAAUUAUUUCCCUUAAACGAGGAAUUCCCAGUAAAUGCGGGUCAUAAGCUCGCGUUGAUUACGUCCCUGCCCUUUGUACACACCGCCCGUCGCUACUACCGAUUGGAUGACUUGGUGA
RNAcentral lists this ribosomal RNA (519 nucleotides) under uncultured eukaryote. RNAcentral's name for it is "SSU rRNA". It matches the Rfam family "Eukaryotic small subunit ribosomal RNA", at positions 1161 to 1704 of the family's 1831-position model. The record is from RNAcentral.